UACGAAGGGGGCUAGCGUUGCUCGGAAUCACUGGGCGUAAAGGGUGCGUAGGCGGGUCUUUAAGUCAGGGGGGAAAUCCUGGAGCUCAACUCCAGAACUGCCUUUGAUACUGAGGAUCUUGAGUACGGGAGAGGUGAGUGGAACUGCGAGUGUAGAGGUGAAAUUCGUAGAUAUUCGCAAGAACACCAGUGGCGAAGGCGGCUCACUGGCCCGUAACUGACGCUGAGGCACGAAAGCUAGGGGAGCAAACGGG
RNAcentral lists this ribosomal RNA (253 nucleotides) under uncultured bacterium. Its description in RNAcentral is "partial 16S ribosomal RNA". It matches the Rfam family "Bacterial small subunit ribosomal RNA", at positions 524 to 776 of the family's 1533-position model. The record is from RNAcentral.